Molecule: long non-coding RNA, 681 nt
Organism: Toxorhynchites rutilus septentrionalis
Lineage: Eukaryota; Metazoa; Arthropoda; Insecta; Diptera; Culicidae
Exons: 3
Source: RefSeq, a predicted model, not a curated record
UGUUUUUCAACUUGUUUUUGAUUGUGCUCUCGAGUUUCGUUUUUCGAUCCAACCAUUUUCAAAAUUUAUAUAAUUUUCACUACUGAAAGAGUGCGUAAAAUAAACAUACACCCUCACUUUUGUGGUUCUGAGCUCUAAUGUAGAUGUCGCAUGAGCUGAUUCAGCUUUGCGUAAAUUCGUCAAUUGGCGAUCUAACGUACAAAUCUACACCUAGGCGGCGCUGCGGCGAAAGUGAUGAUGGUUUUAAAUUUUGCCAUAUGAGCUUAUGGAAGUAGUGAAAACUAUAAAAAUGUUGACAAUCGUUGAAUUAAAGAAGGAAAUUCGAGAGCACAAUCAAACACAAGUAGAAAAAUGCACGAUUCCUGCAUGUGAGAACUACCUUGGAAAGCCCGGAAGUAAAAUAUACGUGAUUUGUUUUUUGAGUUUUAGGUUACAUUAGCAUCAUUUUCUUAGUUCAAAAACAAAAUCCAGAUGUCGCACCGAUCGUUUAUGUUUUGCGUUAGAUCGCCAAUUGGCCUGAUACAAACUAAUAUUGUAUCCAGAUGUCGACACCAUUCCACCGUCAACGCGAAUUGAAAAUGCUAAUACUCCGAGAGCAAAACCUUUCUCUGAACCUUUUGACGUAGGACUACGUCUAACCGGAAGAUACAGGGGGUGAAAUGAAAAUCUAGGCACUGAACA